AGCCCAUUUUGACAUGAACUAGUCAGCAAAGCUGGGAUGGAUUUGGAACCUGGAGAUAUACUAAGGUGUUACCCAAGCUUCAGUGAACAACCAGAAAGUGGAGGAAGAGGAGAUACUGAGAAAAUUCCCAUGUCAGAUCAAUCUUUCUAGUAGAUAGGUCUGAAGAGUUGGACUACACUGAAGUGACAACAGAAGAAGUUUUAGAACAAAUCACUAAAUACUAAUAAGCCACCUGGAGCAGAUUGCAUUCAUCCAAAAGUUAUGAAGGAACUCAAAGGUGAAAUUGCAGAACUGUUGACAAUAGUAUGUAACCUAUAGUUACAAAAGGCCUUUGCCAGGGGACUGGCAGUUUGCCAACAUAACACCAGUCUUCAAAAAGGGUUCCAAAGGUGAUCCUAGGAACUACAAACCAAUAAGUCCCACUUCUAUCCCCGGUGAAUUGAUGGAAUCUAUAAUAAAGAAUAAAAUCAGCAGUCA
Alligator mississippiensis (American alligator) is the source of this 477-nucleotide long non-coding RNA. RefSeq lists it as uncharacterized. The record is from RefSeq and is a predicted model, not a curated record. Lineage: Eukaryota; Metazoa; Chordata; Crocodylia; Alligatoridae. The transcript is spliced from 2 exons.